This 813-nucleotide long non-coding RNA is filed under the name Phoenix dactylifera (date palm). Its description in RNAcentral is "long non-coding RNA (PDAC_LNC009617)". The record is from RNAcentral. Lineage: Eukaryota; Viridiplantae; Streptophyta; Magnoliopsida; Arecales; Arecaceae.
AGGAGAGUAGGCGGCAUUGCAACAAUAUAGAAAAUAUAAGGUUGAUAUUAUAGCAAUUGAACAUAUAGGUUUAUAUUUGCAAAUUCAUACAAAAUGUCGGGGUAUUUUUUUAGCCUAAAUUUUGGAAUACUAACAUAAUCUCAACUCUUUGCAAAGUGAAGAAUCAUGUUAAGGCAUGUCAUCCAAAAGAAAUGUUUUAGAUUGAUAAAUUCUACCUUUACUUGUUAACUUUGCAUAUAAAUUUGAAACUAAAAAUGAAUCUUGCCCUUGUAGUUUACAAAAUUAACUAUGAAAUCUUUUGGAUGGUCAUAUCAUUGUUUGUGUUGCUCCUAUGAUCUAGUGCCACAUUUGCAUCAUCAACACUAAUCCUAGUUAAUUGAUAAAAAAUACUAAUUAUUAUGUAGAAGUAAUACUUACAUAUAUGACGGGUAAAAUGAAUUUUAGAAAUAUCCAUGAAUCAUUAAUUUUUGUACGCAAAAAACUGCCUUCUUCGGAUGGAUCAAUAUGUAUAUGAGUGUGUGUAAUGUAUGUUUAUAUGUAUGUACAUGUAUAUGUAUUUAUGUAUGUUUCAAGAUUUUUUUUUGUUCAGUGUUUGCCCUAUAAUCCUCCAUCCUUUGCCUCUGCUGCUAAGCCCCAACUCAAUGCCUCUAUGAUUGGGCAAGGAGCCCAAUUGUCAAUGAGUAAGUCGAGGCUCAAACCAAUGCUAGAACCCCUUUCAAUGCCCUAUUUUUGGGCUAGAGUCUAUUUUCUUGAUUCUGCUUGUUUCUGCCAUCAUUUGUUGCUCUCAUUGUCACUUGACCACUGUCCUCCAUC